AUUGAACGCUGGCGGCAGGCCUAACACAUGCGAGUCGAGCGGAUGAAGGGAGCUUGCUCCUGGAUUCAGCGGCGGACGGGUGAGUAAUGCCUAGGAAUCUGCCUGGUAGUGGGGGAUAACGUCCGGAAACGGGCGCUAAUACCGCAUACGUCCUGAGGGAGAAAGUGGGGGAUCUUCGGACCUCACGCUAUCAGAUGAGCCUAGGUCGGAUUAGCUAGUUGGUGGGGUAAAGGCCUACCAAGGCGACGACCCGUAACUGGUCUGAGAGGAUGAUCAGUCACACUGGAACUGAGACACGGUCCAGACUCCUACGGGAGGCAGCAGUGGGGAAUAUUGGACAAUGGGCGAAAGCCUGAUCCAGCCAUGCCGCGUGUGUGAAGAAGGUCUUCGGAUUGUAAAGCACUUUAAGUUGGGAGGAAGGGCAGUAAGUUAAUACCUUGCUGUUUUGACGUUACCAACAGAAUAAGCACCGGCUAACUUCGUG
This 484-nucleotide ribosomal RNA is filed under the name uncultured bacterium. RNAcentral's name for it is "partial 16S ribosomal RNA". It matches the Rfam family "Bacterial small subunit ribosomal RNA", at positions 30 to 507 of the family's 1533-position model. The record is from RNAcentral.